GGGGCCGCCCCCCCCGCCGCCACCGCCAUGGCGGCCGCCGCCUCCUCCUUGCGCUUCUGCUCCACGUCGCGGAUGAUGUCGACCACGUCGUCGGCCGGCAGGUGGAGGCGGCUGGACAGCUCGAUCAGCUGGUCGAUGGUGCCGGGGUCCAACGGCGUCUUCGCCGUUGGGCGCGUUGGCGCGGUUGAAGAGGUCGUCACGGUUGGGGAUGUCACCGCGGUUGAAGAUGUCACCACGGUUGGGGACAUUGGCACGGUUGGGGACGUUGGCGUGGAAGGGGACGUCAUCACGGUUGACACCAUCACCACGGUUGGGGACAUCGUCACGCAUGGAGAUGACGUCACCACGCAUCAGCAUCCCGCCACGCACGGAGGUGCCACCACGCAUGGAGGUGUCACCACGCAUGGGGACACCGCCGCGCGUCGGCGUCCUGCCGCGCCCGGGGACAUCCCCGCGCACGGAGAUCUCGUUGGCCAUGGGGACCUCGUUGGCCGUUGGGAUCUUCUUGCCCAGGAAGAUCCUGCUGCCCACCGGGGUCUUCUUGCCCAUGAAGACCUCGUUGGCCAUGGGGACCUCGUUGGUCAUGGGGACCUCGUUGGUCAUCGGGAUUUCGUUGGUCAUCGGGAUCUCAUUGUCCAUCGGGAUCUCAUUGGUCAUGGGGACCCCGUUGGCCAUGGGGACCCCGUUGGUCAUGGGGAUCUCGUUGGUCAUGGGGACUUCGUUGACCAUGGGGACCUCGUUGGCCAUCGGGAUCUCAUUGUCCAUGGGGAUCUCGUUGUCCAUGAGGAACCCGUUGCCUACGGGGAUCUCCUGACCCAUUGGGAUCUUCUGACCCAUGGGGAUCUCCUGACCCAUUGGGAUCAUCUUGCCCAUUGGGAUCUCCUUGCCCAUGGGGACCUCCCCCCCCAUGGCGAUCUUCUUCCCCAUGGGGAUCAUCUUGCCCAUGGGGACCUCCUCGCCCAUCGGGAUCUUCUUCCCCAUGGAGAACCCUUUCCCUAUCGGGGUCACCUUCCCCAUUGGGGUCACCUUCCCCAUUGGGGUCACCUUCCCCAUUGGGGUCACCUUCCCCAUGGAGAUCACCCUCCCCGCUCCCCCCACCUCCCCCCUUCCUUCCUCCUCCUCCUCCUCCUCCUCUUCCUCGUCCUCCUCCUCCUCCUCCGACCUCUUGUCCUGGGCGGCCGCAGCAGGUCCAUGGAGGAGGUACCGGAGCAGGAGGUCGGAGGCCAGGUCGGCCAAGCGCUCCUCCUCGGCGGCGGCCUUGCGGGCGGCCUGGGCUUGGCGCCGGCUCUCGGCCAGCUCCUGGUAGCGCCGCUCCAGCAGCCGCUGCUCCAGGCUCUGCUGCUGCCGCAGCUGCCGGGCGCUGGCCCAGCUUCGGCCUCCUCCUCCUCCUCCUCCUCCUCCUCCUCCUCCUCCUCCUCGCUCUCGCUCCCGCUUGGCCUCCGCUCGCAGCCUCCCCAGCUCCUCCAGCUCCUUCAGGACUUCGUUUGGU
RNAcentral lists this long non-coding RNA (1489 nucleotides) under Anas platyrhynchos platyrhynchos (common mallard). Its description in RNAcentral is "lncRNA (ENSAPLG00000016971.1)". The record is from RNAcentral. Lineage: Eukaryota; Metazoa; Chordata; Aves; Anseriformes; Anatidae.